AUGUGCUUUCUUGUUUACCCCGGCCAGAGUUUCCAGGUGGUCUGCAUUGAUGUGUUUCCAAGGCAGCGCUCAGCGUGUCUGGUCGGCUUCAUGCAGUGCAGCUUCUCCCACACGGUGGUGCAGGUUCUGUGGUUGCUUGAGACGCUCGAUGUGCUCGACAACAAGGUGCUCCGUCAGGGGCGCAAGGAGUACUCCAGCUGGCCCAACUUCCUGCAGCUCUGCAUCAAUGGCGAGUUCUUUGGUGGAUGCGACAUCACCAUCACUAUGUAUAUAUGA
This 276-nucleotide ribosomal RNA is filed under the name Triticum aestivum (bread wheat). Its description in RNAcentral is "partial small subunit ribosomal RNA". The record is from RNAcentral. Lineage: Eukaryota; Viridiplantae; Streptophyta; Magnoliopsida; Poales; Poaceae.